RNAcentral lists this long non-coding RNA (4262 nucleotides) under Salmo salar (Atlantic salmon). Its description in RNAcentral is "lncRNA (ENSSSAG00000107367.1)". The record is from RNAcentral. Lineage: Eukaryota; Metazoa; Chordata; Actinopteri; Salmoniformes; Salmonidae.
CUAGAUAGACACUACAACCUGGUCUAGAGAGACACUACAACCUGGUCUAGAGAGACACUACAACCUGGUCUAGAGAGACACUACAACCUGGUCUAGAUAGACACUACAGAGACACUACAACCUGGUCUAGAGAGAUACUACAGAGACACUACAACCUGGUCUAGAGAGAUACUACAACCUGGUCUAGAGAGACACUACAGAGACACUACAACCUGGUCUAGAGAGACACUACAACCUGGUCUAGAGAGACACUACAACCAGGUCUAGAGAGACAGAGACACUACAGAGACACUACAACACAAAGAGAGGAGAGAAGCCAAACUCUCUCUCUCUCUCUCUCUCUCGCUCUCUCGUCAGAACAGAACAAUGUAUGUUGUGUGGCCUCUGUGUUUGAACUCAGUGUCACAAUGGUCACCUCAGUCCCCCCGGACACAGACACCAACCAUUUCACCGACCAUUUCACCGACCAUUUCACCGACCAUUUCACCAACCAUUUCACCGGCCUACUGUAGUUCUGUUAACGUCACUAGCUCUGUCUCUCUCACAGUAACCAUAGUAACAGUGUAUAACACCAGCCAUUAGCAAGGCAAUAACCUGACUACCGUGUGACUAAACCUGCUGUGGAACUCUGGGUAGUGUAGUGUGGCCGGACCAGACUGGGAUCCUGUCAGUGUAUUUAUCUGACUGUAGUAGUGUUCAUGUUCUAGAACUGACAGGGUCAACAGGAAUGUUCUAGAACUGACAGGGUCAACAAGAAUGUUCUAGAACUGACAGGGUUAACAGGAGUGUUCUAGAACUGACAGGGUUAACAGGAGUGUUCUAGAACUGACAGGGUUAACAGGAGUGUUCUAGAACUGACAGGGUUAACAGGAGUGUUCUAGAACUGACAGGGUUAACAGGAAUGUUCUAGAACUGACAGGGUUAACAGGAGUGUUCUAGAACUGACAGGGUUAACAGGAGUGUUCUAGAACUGACAGGGUUAACAGGAGUGUUCUAGAACUGACAGGGUUAACAGGAGUGUUCUAGAACUGACAGGGUUAACAGGAAUGUUCUAGAACUGACAGGGUUAACAGGAGUGUUCUAGAACUGACAGGGUUAACAGGAGUGUUCUAGAACUGACAGGGUUAACAGGAGUGUUCUAGAACUGACAGGGUUAACAGGAGUGUUCUAGAACUGACAGGGUUAACAGGAGUGUUCUAGAACUGACAGGGUUAACAGGAGUGUUCUAGAACUGACAGGGUCAACAGGAAUGUUCUAGAACUGACAGGGUCAACAAGAAUGUUCUAGAACUGACAGGGUUAACAGGAGUGUUCUAGAACUGACAGGGUCAACAGGAAUGUUCUAGAACUGACAGGGUCAACAGGAAUGUUCUAGAACUGACAGGGUUAACAGGAAUGUUCUAGAACUGACAGGGUCAACAGGAGUGUUCUAGAACUGACAGGGUCAACAAGAAUGUUCUAGAACUGACAGGGUCAACAAGAAUGUUCUAGAACUGACAGGGUCAACAGGAAUGUUCUAGAACUGACAGGGUUAACAGGAAUGUUCAAGAACUGACAGGGUCAACAGGAAUGUUCUAGAACUCUGUUGAUCACUAGAAUCUACAUGACUGUUCUAGUCCAGAGUUCUGCAGGACCAGAAGACAUUUUAUAUCCGGAGAGCACCUCGCCCUCGCCGGCUUGACCUUCAGAUGCUGCAGUUCACCAGAGAGGAAGUCAGGAAGUAUUGCCCUCAAGCCGUGGAUACAAUACAAGACAUUCUAACGCCCGGGAAAAACUCACGUUUAAGGAUCACCGUUCAUUAAGUCUUGAGUCUUGUUUUCCUAACAGUGUGCUGUGCUCAUAUUAACAACAUGGCUAACGUAAACGGGAUCACAGGCGUCCAGGUUCUGUGAUCUUGUAGCUAGUGUCCGUCAGUCUGGCUCUAGAGGCCCUGUACAGAACAACAGUUUUUAUAUUUAUAACAUGGAGGAGCAGAGGGAGUUUUACUGAAGAGAACACCCAUGACGUCACCAGGUCAGCCAGUCAGUCAACCAGUUAGCCAGCCAGCCAGCCAGCCAGCCAGUCAGUAAACCAGUCAGUCAAUCAUUUAGUCAGUCAGUAAACCAGUCAGCCAGUAAACCAUCCAGCCAGUCAGUAAAUUAGCCAGACAGUAAAACAUCCAGUAAACCAGCCAGUCAGUAAACCAGUCAGUCAGUAAACCAGCCAGUCUGUAAACCAGUCAGUCAGUAAACCAGUCUACUAGCCAGUUGAUCAUUAAAUCAGUCAGUAACCCAGUCUGCCAGCCAGUCAGUAAACCAGUCUACCAGCCAGUUGAUCAUUAAAUCAGUCAGUAACCCAGUCUGCCAGCCAGUCAGUCAGUAAACCAGUCUACCAGCCAGCCAGUCAGUAAACCAGUCAGUCAGUAAACCAGUCUACCAGCCAGUCAGUAAACCAGUCUACCAGCCAGUCAGUCAGUAAACCAGUCAGUCAGUAAACCAGUCUGCCAGCCAGUCAGUCAGUAAACCAGUCAGUCAGUAAACCAGUCUGCCAGCCAGUCAGUCAGUAAACCAGUCUACCAGCCAGUCAGUCAGUAAACCAGUCUACCAGCCAGCCAGUCAGUAAACCAGCCAGUCAGUAAACCAGUCUGCCAGCCAGUCAGUCAGUAAACCAGUCAGUCAGUAAACCAGUCUACCAGCCAGUCAGUAAACCAGUCAGUCAGUAAACCAGUCUACCAGCCAGUCAGUAAACCAGUCAGUCAGUAAACCAGUUUACCAGCCAGUCAGUAAACCAGCCAGUCAGUAAACCAGUCUGCCAGCCAGCCAGUCAGUAAACCAGUCAGUCAGUAAACCAGUCUACCAGCCAGUCAGUAAACCAGUCUACCAGUCAGUCAGUAAACCAGUCUGCCAGCCAGUCAGUAAACCAGUCUGCCAUCCAGUCAGUAUUCUGCCAACAUGUUCCAGUUAUUCCCUACAGUAUAUACAGUAUAUUAUGCAUCCCGAAUGGCACCCUAUUCCCUUCAUAGUGCACUACUUUAGGCUCUUAGGGCCUCUGGUCAGAAGUAGUGCACUAUAGGGAUUAGGUUUCCAUUUGGGCCAUUCCUCUACAGUUUAAACCCAGAGACAUGCCCAGGCAUACAGACAUACUGUAGUUCUAAGAGAGUGUUUAGGAACUACAGAUCCCAGCAUGUUCUCUGUUACCAGACUGAGUCGAUGACAGCGGAUCAUGGAGGAAAACUGAGACUUUUUCAAUAUCAUAUGGGUGUUGUUGUUGUUAUUGUUGUUUUACAACACAUGAUGUUGUUCCCCAGGAGUUCACGGUCUCAUAUCUCCAUGGAAACUGUCGUUGUGGUUUUGACAGAGCCCAGCCUCAUCCUAGUCGGGUCCUAGAUCUGUUAGUUAGACACACAACCGGUCUAGAACCAGGCCCAUCCAGCUAAUACAGUCGGACCCACAUGUACCUCUCAGAGUCACUUAAAGGACCGGGCUGUGAUUUAAAGGGCCGGUCUGGGAUUUAAACGGCCCAUCUGGGAUUCAAAGGGCCCAUCUGGGAUUUAUUAAACGGCCCAUCUGGGAUUCAAAGGGCCAGUCUGGGAUUUAAACGGCCCAUCUGGGAUUCAAAGGGCCAGUCUGGGAUUUAAACGGCCCAUCUGGGAUUCAAAGGGCCAGUCUGGGAUUUAAACGGCCCAUCUGGGAUUCAAACGGCCAGCCUGGGAUUUAAACGGUCAAUCUGGGAUUAAAAGGGCCAGUCUGGGAUUCAAAGGGCCAGUCUGGGAUUUAAACGGUCAAUCUGGGAUUAAAAGGGCCAGUCUGGGAUUCAAAGGGCCAGUCUGGGAUUUAAACGGCCAAUCUGGGAUUUAAACGGCCCAUCUGGGAUUAAAAGGACCACUCCUGUGGUAUGGUUUGUCUAACAGAGGUGUUGUUACUAUAGAUCUCUGUUGAUUAGAGAGUAACCCUCUGUGUCCGUCUGUGUCCUAAAUCAGCCUGUCUAUAUACUGUACGUCUGCCUGAUAAUAAAUAUCUAAACUUUAACUCCCAUCAGUACUCUCUGUGAUGGUUAAAUGGAACAAUAAAGAUAUAUUUCAUUAGGUUAGAUAGAUCAUCAUUUAUUGAUUUGAUUAUGGACAUGUACAUUUAAAACGUUGAAUUAAAACGUUGAAUUACCAAGAGUCAGAUGGAUUGCAUGCCCCCCUCUCCCUCUUCCCCUGUCUCUGUCUCCCCCUCUCCCUCCCUCUUUCCCUCAGUCUCUGUCUCCCUCCCUCCCCUUCUCCCCCUCAGUCUCUGUCUC